Molecule: ribosomal RNA, 428 nt
Filed under: uncultured prokaryote
Description: bacterial SSU rRNA
Rfam family: Bacterial small subunit ribosomal RNA
Source: RNAcentral
UGGGGAAUAUUGCGCAAUGGGCGAAAGCCUGACGCAGCGACGCCGCGUGAGGGAAGAAGGCCUUCGGGUCGUAAACCUCUGUCUAGAGGGAAGAAACCAUUGAGGUCGAACAGGCCUCUUUGCUGACGGUACCUCUGAAGGAAGCACCGGCUAACUCCGUGCCAGCAGCCGCGGUAAUACGGAGGGUGCGAGCGUUAAUCGGAAUCACUGGGCGUACAGCGCACGUCGGCGGUGUCGUAAGUCGGUGGUGAAAGCCCUCGGCUCAACCGGGGAACUGCAUUCGAUACUGCGAUGCUUGAGUGCCGGAGAGGGGGGCGGAAUUCCAGGUGUAGGAGUGAAAUCCGUAGAUAUCUGGAGGAACACCAGUGGCGAAGGCGGCCACCUGGCCGGCAACUGACGCUGAGGUGCGAAAGCGUGGGGAUCAAACA